This 380-nucleotide ribosomal RNA is filed under the name uncultured eukaryote. Its description in RNAcentral is "partial 18S ribosomal RNA". It matches the Rfam family "Eukaryotic small subunit ribosomal RNA", at positions 592 to 976 of the family's 1831-position model. The record is from RNAcentral.
CAAUAGCGUAUAUUAAAGUUGUUGCAGUUAGAACGCUCGUAGUCGGAUUUCGGGGCGGGCCGACCGGUCUGCCGAUGGGUAUGCACUGGUCGGCGCGUCCUUCCUUCCGGAGACCGUCCCUACUCUUAACUGAGCGGGGGCGGGAGACGGGACUUUUACUUUGAAAAAAUCAGAGUGUUUCAAGCAGGCAGCUCGCUCUUGCAUGGAUUAGCAUGGGAUAAUGAAAUAGGACUUUGGUGCUAUUUUGUUGGUUUCGAACACCGAAGUAAUGAUGAGAAGGGACUGUCAGAGGCACUCGUAUUCCGCCGAGAGAGGUGAAAUUCUCAGACCAGCGGAAGACGAACCACUGCGAAAGCAUUUGCCAGGGAUGUUUUCACUGA